GAGUUUGAUCGUGGCUCAGGAUAAACGCUGGCGGCGUGCUUCAGGCAUGCAAGUCGAACGAGCGACCUCAGCUUGCUGGGGAAGCUAGUGGCGGACGGGUGAGUAACACGUAAGCAACCUGCCCAAAAGUGGGGAAUAACUGACCGAAAGGUUAGCUAAUACCGCAUGUGAUGUGUCCCCUCUGGGGGAUCCAUUAAAGGAGUAAUUCGCUUUUGGAGGGGCUUGCGGCCGAUUAGCUAGUUGGUGGGGUAAUGGCCCACCAAGGCUACGAUCGGUAGCUGGUCUGAGAGGACGGACAGCCACACGGGGACUGAGAUACGGCCCCGACUCCUACGGGAGGCAGCAGCUAGGAAUCUUGGGAAUGGGCGAAAGCCUGACCCAGCAACGCCGCGUGGGCGAUGAAGGCCUUC
RNAcentral lists this ribosomal RNA (410 nucleotides) under uncultured Caldilineae bacterium. Its description in RNAcentral is "bacterial SSU rRNA". It matches the Rfam family "Bacterial small subunit ribosomal RNA", at positions 9 to 419 of the family's 1533-position model. The record is from RNAcentral. Lineage: Bacteria; Bacillati; Chloroflexota; Caldilineae.